CGUAGGUGGCAAGCGUUGUCCGGAUUUAUUGGGUUUAAAGGGCGCGUAGGCGGCUUUGCAAGUGACGGGUGAAAUCCCUCGGCUUAACCGAGGAACUGCCUGUCAGACUGCAUGGCUUGAGACCAGGAGAGGUGAGUGGAAUUCCCAGUGUAGCGGUGAAAUGCGUAGAUAUUGGGAGGAACACCAGUGGCGAAGGCGGCUCACUGGACUGGUACUGACGCUGAUGCGCGAAAGCGUGGGGAGCAAACAGGAUUAGAUACCCUGGUAGUCCACGCCGUAAACGAUGAGUGCUUGGUGUAGCGGGUAUCGACCCCUGCUGUGCCGAAGUCAACACAUUAAGCACUCCGCCUGGGGAGUACGGUCGCAAGACUG
RNAcentral lists this ribosomal RNA (372 nucleotides) under uncultured organism. Its description in RNAcentral is "bacterial SSU rRNA". It matches the Rfam family "Bacterial small subunit ribosomal RNA", at positions 526 to 896 of the family's 1533-position model. The record is from RNAcentral.